Molecule: long non-coding RNA, 636 nt
Filed under: Gossypium raimondii (Peruvian cotton)
Lineage: Eukaryota; Viridiplantae; Streptophyta; Magnoliopsida; Malvales; Malvaceae
Description: long non-coding RNA (GRAI_LNC005084)
Source: RNAcentral
CUAGAGGUACUUAUGAGAGGAAUACCAAAGAGCUUGCAGUUCCCUUCUCUAGAUUUUCCAUUCUUAUGCUCUUGAGCCAAUGAUGUUUUCGGCAUUAAAUCUCUUGAAUGGAUUGAAUUAUCAUAACAAGAAGUGGUUGGGGGAGGCAUCAACCAAUUACCACGUGAGCAUUCAAUCCUAUGACCUUCAAGUAUAGGGUAGUCACCAAAACCACUAAAUCUACCAUUUCCCCGCGCCUGAUAAGGCACAUCAGAACCUUGCAAAGGAGGGUCUGUACUACUGUCAGACAACUUGAGUGAGAGACCAGAUGGCAAGAGGGACCAAGAGCCAAGCUUCCCUUCUUGACCUAGUAAUUGUUUUUUCCCCGAAUUACCAGCUACUGAAGUUUGAUCAACAAAGGAAGGAUAAUAUCCGCGCGAUGUAUCAGCAUUCGACCCAAAACCUGAGAGCAAAUCUGUGUAAGUUGGUUCAUGCCUCCUAGAGGGCAUCCAAUUCUCUGGCCCAAAUUUUCUUUCACCAUGAGCUACAUCAAUCUUCUCAUCAUCUAUUGAAGGUGGCCACAUCACUGACCUAUCAGCAGUGUCAGAAUCAUUACUCUCAGCAAAUGUGCCUCUCAAGGUCGAGAAUUCUUGACCU